CUACGGGCUGCUCCAGUGGGGAAUAUUGGACAAUGGACCAAAAGUCUGAUCCAGCAAUUCUGUGUGCACGAUGAAGGUUUUCGGAUCGUAAAGUGCUUUCAACAGGGAAGAAGUUCUGACGGUACCUGUAGAAGAAGUGACGGCUAAAUACGUGCCAGCAGCCGCGGUAAUACGUAUGUCACAAGCGUUAUCCGGAAUUAUUGGGCAUAAAGGGCAUCUAGGCGGCUUGGUAAGUCUGAUGUAAAAAUGCGGGGCUCAACCCCGUAUUGCGUUGGAUACUGCUAGGCUAGAGUAUUGGAGAGGUAGGCGGAACUACAUGUGUAGAGGUGAAAUUCGUAGAUAUAUGUAGGAAUGCCGAUGACGAAGGUAGCUUACUGGACAAUUACUGACGCUGAAGUGCGAAAGCUAGGGGAGCAAACAGGAUUAGAUACCCGCGUAGUC
RNAcentral lists this ribosomal RNA (441 nucleotides) under uncultured bacterium. RNAcentral describes it as "partial 16S ribosomal RNA". It matches the Rfam family "Bacterial small subunit ribosomal RNA", at positions 339 to 795 of the family's 1533-position model. The record is from RNAcentral.